CGCGCAGGCGGCUAUCCAAGUCAGUGGUGAAAGCCCGGAGCUCAACUCCGGAACUGCCAUUGAAACUGUUUAGCUGGAGUAUGAGAGAGGUGAGUGGAAUUCCCAGUGUAGAGGUGAAAUUCGUAGAUAUUGGGAAGAACACCGGUGGCGAAGGCGGCUCACUGGCUCAUUACUGACGCUCAUGCGCGACAGCGUGGGGAUCAAACAGGAUUAGAUACCCUGGUAGUCCACGCCGUAAACGAUGAAUGCUAGCCGUUGGGCAGCUUGCUGUUCAGUGGCGCAGCUAACGCAUUAAGCAUUCCGCCUGGGGAGUACGGCCGCAAGGUUGAA
Molecule: ribosomal RNA, 330 nt
Filed under: uncultured bacterium
Lineage: Bacteria
Description: bacterial SSU rRNA
Rfam family: Bacterial small subunit ribosomal RNA
Source: RNAcentral